RNAcentral lists this ribosomal RNA (491 nucleotides) under uncultured bacterium. RNAcentral describes it as "bacterial SSU rRNA". It matches the Rfam family "Bacterial small subunit ribosomal RNA", at positions 32 to 531 of the family's 1533-position model. The record is from RNAcentral.
AAUCAACGCUGGCGGCGUGCCUCAGACAUGCAAGUCGAACGAUUAAAGCUCUCUUCGGAGAGUGUAUAGAGUGGCGCACGGGUGAGUAACACGUAAGUAAUCUACCCUCGAGUGGGGAAUAACAACCGGAAACGGUUGCUAAUACCGCAUAAUGCAGCGGCACCGCAAGGUGACAGUUGUUAAAGAUUUAUCGCUUGAGGAGGAGCUUGCGGCAGAUUAGCUAGUUGGUAGGGUAACGGCUUACCAAGGCUACGAUCUGUAACCGGUCUAAGAGGACGGUCGGUCACACUGACACUGAAUAACGGGUCAGACUCCUACGGGAGGCAGCAGUCGGGAAUUUUGGGCAAUGGGCGAAAGCCUGACCCAGCAACGCCGCGUGAAGGAUGAAGUAUUUCGGUAUGUAAACUUCGAAAGAAUAGGAAGAAUUAAUGACGGUACUAUUUAUAAGGUCCGGCUAACUACGUGCCAGCAGCCGCGGUAAAGUCUGUACU